RNAcentral lists this transfer RNA (68 nucleotides) under pig gut metagenome. It matches the Rfam family "tRNA". Rfam says of the family: Transfer RNA (tRNA) molecules are approximately 80 nucleotides in length. Their secondary structure includes four short double-helical elements and three loops (D, anti-codon, and T loops). The record is from RNAcentral.
CCUGUAGCUCAGUUGGGAGAGCAGCGCACUUUUAAUGCGUGGGUCGGGGGUUCAAAUCCCUUCAGGCG